This 572-nucleotide long non-coding RNA is filed under the name Dermacentor andersoni. Its description in RNAcentral is "uncharacterized LOC126529789". The record is from RNAcentral. Lineage: Eukaryota; Metazoa; Arthropoda; Arachnida; Ixodida; Ixodidae.
GUUUCCCUUUUAUGCAGAUAUGCAAUGGCAAGCCCUUCCGUGUGUUCCAAAGACAAUGCCUACGCCUAGCCACAGCAGCUCCCUCAUACAGACUCCGCAAGCCAAGAGGCUGUGGAGGCAAAUGCAGGUAAGAGGCAAGAAGCAAUAGCACUGGUAUCGACAUUCAUCUAAUUUCUUUUUCUUUCGUUUAGGCAGCCAGCACACCUCGAACAGGCACCUUGACUGCGGGAGUGUCACCCUAGUCGCCAAGGAAACAUUUGAGGGAAAGCGACAGGCAAUGUAAAUAGCCACUUCUUCAUGUAAACGAUACUCUUUCUCUUGGAUGACUCCUACGCCUCGCCACGCCAGCACACUUGUGCACAAAGAUGCCGCGGAGGCACGUGCAGGUCAGAGGCAAGAAGCAGUGGCACUGGUGUCGACAUUCACCCAAUUUCUUUUUCUUACACUGAGGCAGCCAGCUCAUCUCGAACAGCCACCUUGACUGCGGGUGUGUCAGUAGAUUCCUGUUGUACAUAUGCUCAUAAUAAACUUCAGUAACUUGAACUUGAUAAUAAACUUUAAGGCAAAUGGGA